Pungitius pungitius (ninespine stickleback) is the source of this 3272-nucleotide RNA transcript. It is a transcript of the gene named vinculin, with no coding region annotated. Lineage: Eukaryota; Metazoa; Chordata; Actinopteri; Perciformes; Gasterosteidae. The record is from RefSeq and is a predicted model, not a curated record. The transcript is spliced from 4 exons.
AGGAAAUCCGAAUGCUCGACGAGGCUUUGAGGACUGCUGUUCUCUAUCAAGUGCUGGACACGUUUCCUGCAGCAUCGACGACGGUUCAGAAACUUUUAAGGCUGUCGGGGCAAAUCCUGGCCGCACAUUCUUCCACAGAGAUGGAUCCGUCUUCCAUUCAGGCAGAAGUUGAGGAUGUCAUAGCUGCCACUGAUAGAAUAAUCAAAGUGGCACAUUUCCUCUCAGCUGUCGCCGUUGAUGCAAAGACUUUGGAGAGUGUGGAGAACUCACGAGUCGGCCUCGCCAGACUCCGAGCUCAGCUCGCACCACUCUCUCUGGAGCUGGCAGAUAACUCCAUGCAAACCGUUCAAAAGAUUCACGAGGCCUGUGAAAAGUGGGAGGAGGAGACUAGUCAGCUUCAGGAAGCCCUUGGUGAUGUAAUGGAUGUGAGGGAGUUUACCAGUGUUGCUAUCGACGAGGUGGUCAGUGAUCAGCACGCCUGUGACUCAGCGCACAGACAGCAAAGCUGUGAACUGUUUAAACAACACGCUGCAAACCUUUUUUGUCACAUGAAGCUGGUGGUUGACUCGGUGAGGAGGCACUUGGACAGAAGUGAUGACCCCAUCCACAGGAACGGGCUACUGGUCCUGCUGAAACAGGUUCAGUCAUCUGGAGCCAAGGCGAGUGAGUCGGUCAGAGACAUGCUUUUAGAUUCCAGUCUAAAUGGGGAGGUAUAUUCUACUUUUUUAGAUAAUGUGUCCGCUGCUAUUAAGCAUUUAAAAGUGCUCAGAAAGGGGCUGGACGGCCAACAGCACCCACAUCUCCUGAGCCCGCUGCGAAAACAGGCACGUUGGCCCGAAAUCUCCCAGCCAUGGGUUCCUGUCAGAGACUCCAGUGAACUGAACCCGGGUCAGAUGAUGAGAGGCGGUUCUGUUUUAGAAGUCCUGGAGAAGGAUUCUCACAGCGAACAUGAGGAGGAACCCUCACAUGAGGAAAGCAUAGAAGCAGAACUGGAUCAUAAACAUGAUUUGCAGAUCCCAGCUGUCCCUGUUGAGCUGAAACUGAUCCACAAACCUCUUGAAUUUGACCUUUUGCCCCUCUUGUAUGAAGUCGUGACUGUGACUAAAGGGAAAGAUGUGACACUGCUGAACCGGGCCUGCACUGGCGUUUUAGAGCUGUCAAACUGCUACGCCCAAGCUGCAAAGGAAGCCUCGGCCAUUGUGGACGCGGUCGAUUGUCAAACGUUGGAAAGUCUUAGAGCGGAGCUGGUGUCGCUGACUCCGCUGCUCGUCCAGACGGCUCAAGAGACAGCGAUGAGCUCGGCGAGGAGCACGGAGGGCGUCUACAGACACAGCGCGCGCUUUUCUGACCUCAUAACCAACACCAGGAAGCUUUUGCUGCCAGUAGCUGGCACCUGGUACAGCGCCGUUUACGCCGAGCUGCGAGGAAAUCCGCCGACAAUGGCCGCCACUGUCGCGCAGCGACUAAACGAAGCGAUGACUUCAUGCGCCGAGGCAGUCCAGCUCUUGACGUCGUCUGAUUUCACCUCCCGGAGCGACGGUCAUGAAACAUUGAGCGUUUUACACAACAAGCUGAACAAAGCCCAAAACAACACAAAGUAUCUGAUUGAGUUUUCCACCUCAAUGGAAGGACCGGUGGAUCAGCUCGAGGGCCUCUGCAUCCUCUGGGGCCUCUCUGUUCAGGUGCUGCUGCAUUCUCUAGACAAGAUUUUGGGAACGUCCACCACAAUGAACCCGUUGACCCCCCGGAAACGUGUGGCCGCGUUGUCUGAGAUUUCGCUUCGGAUCCAAGAGGCGGCGAGGUUAACCUGCCAGAAUUGUAGAAGUGCGUACAAAUCCAAACAGUUAGCAGGAUACCAGAAUGAAGUAAAACGCCUGACUGAAGCGUAUCUUGAAGCUGCAGAAGAGCUCGACACGAUGUCCAGUGUCACGCAGCUUGCGAAAUCAGAUUUCUUCCAGAGACAUCUUUUGAUUAAAAUUAGAGUGCUUUCCUCUCAUUUAAGCAAGGCAAAUAAAGAUUAUGACGCUGCACUUCAAAAUAUUGUCAGUGUUGCUCUUUUUUCUGCUGAACACGGAGAGAGCAACACGGAGGAUUUGGAGCCAAAAUUUGACACCGCUGCUCAAACGUUGUUUGAAAAUGUCAAAACUGCAACCAAAAGAGUCGAGGACAGCGUGCACUUCAUCCGCAACCCACACGCUCGUUCUCACCUGAGGUCCAUCAACGACCACCUGUCUUUUCAGAUCUCAGAUAUAAUCAGCAGGGCGAGGCUCAUGGUAGAGACUCACUAUAUUUGUGACACGCUCAGUCUGGACGUGCAGAUCCAGUGCUGGUCAGCCAAAGCUCAUUAUGUGGCCGAGGAGAUCAGGAAACAGGAAGGGAUUCACCAAGAGGUCAAAGAGCUCAUCAGGGCCGGUCUGCAGGGCAGAAGCCUUGAGGAUGACAAAGAAGUGUCAGCCACGGCACCAUCUACAGAAAAAGAAGGGGGAUUUCCCCGUGACAUGACAAUGACGGCGUGGCACAGAGGCGACACGGAAAGCAUAGAUGCUGCAGGAACAAAUACUAACGCGACCACUGUGGUGAGAUAUGGAGCUGGAACUAUUGAAAAUGUAGGUAUCUCAUCAAGGUACACUUUUCAAUGUGAUUACCUUUCUGUCACACUAAAUCAUGGCCCUACACUUCUCUAUAGGACGGUUUGGGGUCCAGCGGACCCAAAGAGACUCCUUCGCUGACCUCCACGGCCCUUUUUCUGAAGCAAGAAAGUGACAGCUGGGAUCCCAAGGACAACAGAAUUGUCCAGAUGACCAGGAAGAUGGCUGACACACUCUGUUACAUGACUCAAUACCUGAAGAAGAGAGGCCCAAUACUGAAUAAGGAGGCGUUUGUCACUGCAGCAAAAAAUGUGAUCUCAGACUGCCAGUCAGUCACCCAGUUCAUCCGAGUCAUUGCCAACCACUGCCUGGAUAAACAGUGUACAAGCGAACUCUCCCUCAUAGUUGAGCAAAUUCUCACCAUCACUAACCAGCUCAGCAUCAUCUCCAGUGUGAACGCUGUAACACCCGGGUGCAGAUCAUCGGAUGAGAUCCUGGUGAAGAACGCUCAAAAUCUACUGCAGACGGUCCUGCGUGGGGUUCGCGCUGCAGAGUCAGCCUGCAUCACAGGGUUGAAGCAGCCCGAGCCAGACUCAGAUGGUGCUGAGGCCACGGCCUUGUGUUUCCAGUGGAGGAGCAAACUGGAGAUCCAUCGAGCCCAGCAGACUUCGAACACAGAGACCG